AACCUAGCACACCUGCGGUGUGUACCUGCGGAGGGAUCAUUAAAGAGUUUAACUACUCAAACCAUUGUGAACCUUACCUCAACCGUUGCUUCGGCGGGCGGGCCCGGGCCAAGCCCGGCGCCCCCCCGGCCCCUCGCGGGCGCCCGCCGGAGGUUAACCGAACCCUUGAAUUGUAUGGCCUCUCUGAGUCUUCUGUACUGAAUAAGUCAAAACUUUUAACAACGGAUCUCAGAUCGGAAG
This 240-nucleotide unclassified non-coding RNA is filed under the name soil metagenome. Its description in RNAcentral is "partial contains 5.8S ribosomal RNA, internal transcribed spacer 2, and large subunit ribosomal RNA". The record is from RNAcentral.